Molecule: ribosomal RNA, 396 nt
Filed under: Enterococcus avium
Lineage: Bacteria; Bacillati; Bacillota; Bacilli; Lactobacillales; Enterococcaceae
Description: bacterial SSU rRNA
Rfam family: Bacterial small subunit ribosomal RNA
Source: RNAcentral
UUUUAUGAGAGUUUGAUCCUGGCUCAGGACGAACGCUGGCGGCGUGCCUAAUACAUGCAAGUCGAACGCUUUUUCUUUCACCGGAGCUUGCUCCACCGAAAGAAAAGGAGUGGCGAACGGGUGAGUAACACGUGGGUAACCUGCCCAUCAGAAGGGGAUAACACUUGGAAACAGGUGCUAAUACCGUAUAACAAUCGAAACCGCAUGGUUUCGGUUUGAAAGGCGCUUUUGCGUCACUGAUGGAUGGACCCGCGGUGCAUUAGCUAGUUGGUGAGGUAACGGCUCACCAAGGCAACGAUGCAUAGCCGACCUGAGAGGGUGAUCGGCCACAUUGGGACUGAGACACGGCCCAAACUCCUACGGGAGGCAGCAGUAGGGAAUCUUCGGCAAUGGACG